This 468-nucleotide ribosomal RNA is filed under the name uncultured bacterium. Its description in RNAcentral is "partial 16S ribosomal RNA". It matches the Rfam family "Bacterial small subunit ribosomal RNA", at positions 28 to 507 of the family's 1533-position model. The record is from RNAcentral.
GACGAACGCUGGCGGCGUGCUUAACACAUGCAAGUCGAACGGAAAGGCCCUGCUUUUGUGGGGUGCUCGAGUGGCGAACGGGUGAGUAACACGUGAGUAACCUGCCCUUGACUUUGGGAUAACUUCAGGAAACUGGGGCUAAUACCGGAUAGGAGCUCCUGCUGCAUGGUGGGGGUUGGAAAGUUUCGGCGGUUGGGGAUGGACUCGCGGCUUAUCAGCUUGUUGGUGGGGUAGUGGCUUACCAAGGCUUUGACGGGUAGCCGUCCUGAGAGGGUGACCGGCCACAUUGGGACUGAGAUACGGCCCAGACUCCUACGGGAGGCAGCAGUGGGGAAUAUUGCACAAUGGGCGGAAGCCUGAUGCAGCAACGCCGCGUGCGGGAUGAAGGCCUUCGGGUUGUAAACCGCUUUCGCCUGUGACGAAGCGUGAGUGACGGUAAUGGGUAAAGAAGCACCGGCUAACUACGUG